GGAUGUGAGAGCGAUCUGGCUGUGACAUCUGUCACCCCAUUGAUCACCAGGGUUGAUUCAUCUGAUCUGGCUGGCUAGGCAGGUGCCCCCUUCCUCCCUCACAGCAACACGUGCGUCCCUCCCGAAUCUGUGUGCUUGGUCGAAGAGGACGACCUUCCCUGAUACAGGUGGUAUCAUUCAUCAGUCACAGGUAUAUGGUAGCUGCACUCCCCUGCUAGAACCUCCAAACAAGUUCAAUGAUUCUAUAUCCACUGCUGUAAUGUAUAAUGAGUUUACAUCAUCUAGGGAUAAUUUCCAGUUGUU
This 303-nucleotide small nuclear RNA is filed under the name Melopsittacus undulatus (budgerigar). RNAcentral's name for it is "7SK RNA". It matches the Rfam family "7SK RNA". From Rfam's summary of the family: 7SK was discovered as an abundant small nuclear RNA in the mid-70s but a possible function has only recently been suggested. Lineage: Eukaryota; Metazoa; Chordata; Aves; Psittaciformes; Psittaculidae. The record is from Rfam by way of RNAcentral.